This 496-nucleotide ribosomal RNA is filed under the name uncultured bacterium. RNAcentral describes it as "partial 16S ribosomal RNA". It matches the Rfam family "Bacterial small subunit ribosomal RNA", at positions 29 to 507 of the family's 1533-position model. The record is from RNAcentral.
ACGAACGCUGGCGGCGUGCCUAAUACAUGCAAGUUGAGCGCUGAAGGUUGGUACUUGUACCAACUGGAUGAGCAGCGAACGGGUGAGUAACGCGUGGGGAAUCUGCCUUUGAGCGGGGGACAACAUUUGGAAACGAAUGCUAAUACCGCAUAAAAACUUUAAACACAAGUUUUAAGUUUGAAAGAUGCAAUUGCAUCACUCAAAGAUGAUCCCGCGUUGUAUUAGCUAGUUGGUGAGGUAAAGGCUCACCAAGGCGAUGAUACAUAGCCGACCUGAGAGGGUGAUCGGCCACAUUGGGACUGAGACACGGCCCAAACUCCUACGGGAGGCAGCAGUAGGGAAUCUUCGGCAAUGGACGAAAGUCUGACCGAGCAACGCCGCGUGAGUGAAGAAGGUUUUCGGAUCGUAAAACUCUGUUGGUAGAGAAGAACGUUAGUGAGAGUGGAAAGCUCAUCAAGUGACGGUAACUACCCAGAAAGGGACGGCUAACUACGUG